AUUGAACGCUGGCGGCAUGCCUUACACAUGCAAGUCGAACGGCAGCACGGGAGCAAUCCUGGUGGCGAGUGGCGAACGGGUGAGUAAUACAUCGGAACGUGCCCAGUAGUGGGGGAUAACCCGGCGAAAGCCGGACUAAUACCGCAUACGACCUACGGGUGAAAGCGGGGGAUCGCAAGACCUCGCGCUAUCGGAGCGGCCGAUGUCAGAUUAGCUAGUUGGUGGGGUAAAGGCCUACCAAGGCGACGAUCUGUAGCUGGUCUGAGAGGACGACCAGCCACACUGGGACUGAGACACGGCCCAGACUCCUACGGGAGGCAGCAGUGGGGAAUUUUGGACAAAGGGCGCAAGCCUGAUCCAGCCAUGCCGCGUGCGGGAAGAAGGCCUUCGGGUUGUAAACCGCUUUUGUCAGGGAAGAAACGCUCCGGGCUAAUACCACGGAGUAAUGACGGUACCUGAAGAAUAAGCACCGGCUAACUACGUG
Molecule: ribosomal RNA, 484 nt
Filed under: uncultured bacterium
Lineage: Bacteria
Description: partial 16S ribosomal RNA
Rfam family: Bacterial small subunit ribosomal RNA
Source: RNAcentral